AACAAAAAAAUGUAAAAAUCUGUUUGGCAUCCAGUGUUUCAGUGUUUUUUGAACAAAAAAUUGGAAAAGAAAAACGACUUGAAAGAGGAAAGUCGGAACGACAAAGCCCGUUCUGUACUUCUGUCCGACAGUUUCGUUCCAAAGGUGUUAAAAACAGGAACUUUCGUUCCCGAUAAUAUACCCUCGCCUCCUUACCUCUCUCUUUCACUUUGCGCACGCAGAGCUGGAGAAAGAAGAAACCGGAGAAGCAACUCGACCUAAUCCUUGACACAGCAGAAGGAUCCUGCAUCGUUCUUCUCAAGGGAGAACUCCACUGCUCAUCUCUGCUCGACUCUGCUCGUCGAUCACGUCUUCUCAGAUCUCAUCUGUGAAGACCAGAUCUUUGCGAGUUUUCAACCUGAUCUCUGCUUGUUUUCGCUCAAACAGUCGAACUUUCUUGUCCAUCAUUGGUGGAGUUAUUGCCGGAAUUUUGGGAUUCACUGGCUUGACAGGCUUUGUCUUUUAUUUCCUCAUCAUGGCGAUUACUUCUAUUGGACUUGCAGCCAAGGCAAAGUUCUCCA
Long non-coding RNA from Macadamia integrifolia, 560 nucleotides. RefSeq lists it as uncharacterized. NCBI's taxonomy places the organism in Eukaryota, Viridiplantae, Streptophyta, Magnoliopsida, Proteales, Proteaceae. The transcript has 3 exons. The record is from RefSeq and is a predicted model, not a curated record.